Molecule: ribosomal RNA, 910 nt
Filed under: uncultured Thermotoga sp.
Lineage: Bacteria; Thermotogati; Thermotogota; Thermotogae; Thermotogales; Thermotogaceae
Also listed under: 1 other name
Description: bacterial SSU rRNA
Rfam family: Bacterial small subunit ribosomal RNA
Source: RNAcentral
AGAGUUUGAUCAUGGCUCAGGGUGAACGCUGGCGGCGUGCCUAACACAUGCAAGUCGAGCGGGUACCCGCAAGGGUACCAGCGGCGCACGGGUGAGUAACACGUGGGUAAUCUACCCCUCGGAGGGGGAUAACCGGGGGAAACUCCGGCUAAUACCCCAUACGAUCCAACAACACAAGUUGUUGGAUGAAAGGAGCGUUUGCUCCGCCGAGGGAUGAGCCCGCGGCCCAUCAGGUAGUUGGUGGGGUAAUGGCCCACCAAGCCUACGACGGGUAGCCGGCCUGAGAGGGUGGUCGGCCACAAGGGCACUGAGACACGGGCCCUACUCCUACGGGAGGCAGCAGUGGGGAAUCUUGGACAAUGGGCGAAAGCCUGAUCCAGCGACGCCGCGUGGGGGAUGAAGCCCUUCGGGGUGUAAACCCCUGUUGCGAGGGAGGAAUAAGGCCUGGAGGAAAUGCCAGGCCGAUGACUGUACCUCGCGAGGAAGCCCCGGCUAACUACGUGCCAGCAGCCGCGGUAAUACGUAGGGGGCGAGCGUUACCCGGAUUCACUGGGCGUAAAGCGGGUGUAGGCGGCUCGGUAAGUCGGGUGUGAAAUCCCACAGCUCAACUGUGGAAUUGCGCCCGAAACUGCUGAGCUUGGGGCCGGUAGAGGGAGACGGAACUGCCGGUGUAGGGGUGAAAUCCGUAGAUAUCGGCAGGAACGCCGGUGGGGAAGCCGGUCUCCUGGGCCGCGCCCGACGCUGAGACCCGAAAGCUAGGGGAGCAAACCGGAUUAGAUACCCGGGUAGUCCUAGCCGUAAACGAUGCCCACUAGGUGUGGGGGAUUAAUUCCUCCGUGCUGUAGCUAACGCGUUAAGUGGGCCGCCUGGGGAGUACGCCCGCAAGGGUGAAACUCAAAUGAAUUGACGG